Long non-coding RNA from Dermacentor andersoni, 199 nucleotides. RefSeq lists it as uncharacterized. The record is from RefSeq and is a predicted model, not a curated record. NCBI's taxonomy places the organism in Eukaryota, Metazoa, Arthropoda, Arachnida, Ixodida, Ixodidae.
CGCUUUCCGAAGCUCAAGAUACCGGCGACAUUGAAAAACCGUCCUUCAGUUUGCCCGAGAUAGUAAAAAAGUCUGACCUCACUGAAAAAACCAGAGAAUUCUGCCUCUGCUUCGAUGGCGGAUCAGACGGAAGAUGUUGAUAUUGCCGUGACUUCGCAUGGAGGUCGCACCCUGAUGACGCUGACGCCCGCAUCACAAC